This 253-nucleotide ribosomal RNA is filed under the name uncultured bacterium. Its description in RNAcentral is "partial 16S ribosomal RNA". It matches the Rfam family "Bacterial small subunit ribosomal RNA", at positions 524 to 776 of the family's 1533-position model. The record is from RNAcentral.
UACGUAGGGUGCGAGCGUUGUCCGGAAUUAUUGGGCGUAAAGAGCUCGUAGGCGGUUUGUUGCGUCGGCUGUGAAAUCCCGAGGCUCAACCUCGGGUCUGCAGUCGAUACGAGCAAACUAGAGUGUUGCAGGGGAGACUGGAAUUCCUGGUGUAGCGGUGAAAUGCGCAGAUAUCAGGAGGAACACCUAUUGCGAAGGCAGCUCGCUGGGACGUAACUGACGCUGAGACGCGAAAGCGUGGGGAGCAAACAGG